Molecule: transfer RNA, 87 nt
Filed under: Monodopsis sp. MarTras21
Lineage: Eukaryota; Eustigmatophyceae; Eustigmatales; Monodopsidaceae
Description: tRNA-Ser
Rfam family: tRNA
About the family: Transfer RNA (tRNA) molecules are approximately 80 nucleotides in length. Their secondary structure includes four short double-helical elements and three loops (D, anti-codon, and T loops).
Source: RNAcentral
GGAUGAGUGACCGAGUGGUUGAAGGUGUCAGUCUUGAAAACUGAAGUGUCCACUAGGAUACCGGGGGUUCGAAUCCCUCCUUGUCCU